UUUUGUUUAUUUUAAGGGGGUUUUUUGGUCAGAAAAAAAAAUCUUGUGUGGACUUCUUAAGAAACUGCAACAGAAAACACAGCAUCACUGGUUCCUUUUUAUAUUUGUCAUUGAGAAGAGAACAUGUUAUAGCUGUGACCACAGGUGCAAGUGCAGUGUCAAUUCCAUUUCAUAAAUGUGAGCAUAUAUUUAUCUUUGAAAACCAUCUAUAGAAAGAGGUUAUUGUUGCUGCAUUGCUUCAGCCAAGACUUGGCAGAACUAAGCCAACCCCUGGCUUAGGGCUAGAAGAUCACAGACACCAAUAUGGAGGAUGACCAAAUAGCGUUUUAUUAAACAACAGCAGGCAUUAUAUGCCUUUCGGCCACACGGAAGUACCUAUGCUGACCCAAUCAGAAGGCAGGUUAACAAUUUUUACCUUUUAUGGUAUUGCUGAGCCUCGCCCCACAAUUCCCCUCUCCAUGCUAUGGGGCUUGUGAGAGUAUCCGGGGAGGGGCUCUCUCUUUCCGUACAUCGCGAUAUCUUCCGGCCGCCAGACCUUAACUACCUACAUUUCCCCCUCCCCAUGCACAAAUAAGGUGAUUAAGAUAAAACAAUCCUAAAAAUACAUAUCAUAAAACUUGGUGCAAACCUAGCAAAUGUGUGCUGUUUCUACGCUAUUUUUUACAAAAAUUUAGAAAUAUACAUCAUAAGUUUAGAUAGAAAAUAUAAGGCACGCUAAACAGGAUAACUGGGGGACAACUGAGAGUAGUGGUGUAUAACUAGGGAUAGCUAAAAGGAAUUUCAAACGGAAAUAGUCUUAGAGCAAUCGUUGAUGUGCUAUUAACAUAAUGCUAACACUCUCUGUUGUCACAGUUUGAUAUUUACCAUUCCCUGUAGUUUAGUGACAUGCAAAUACAACCUGGAUUCAUUUCACAAAAAUUGCGUAUUUUGUUUGAUUUUGAGGAGUUUUAAAUAUAUCUGUCAUGCUACAUUAAGUUCUAGUCAUUUUUAGCUGUUCAUUUUGUAGGUAGUUAAGGUCUGGCGGCCGGAAGAUAUCGCGCUGUACGGAAAGAGAGUGCCCCUCCCCUGAUACUUUUAGAAGCCUCAUAGCAUGGAGAGGGGAAUUGUGGGGCAAGGCCUGGCGAUACCAUAAAAGGCAAAAAUUGUUAACCUGCCUUCUGAUUGGAUCAGCAUAGGUACUUCCGCGUGGCCGAAGGUAUAUAAUGCCUGCUGUUGUUCAAUAAAACGCUAUUUGAUCAUCCUCCAUAUUGGUGUCUGUGAUCUCUAGCCCUAAGCCAGGGGGUUGGCUUAGCUCUGCAAGUCUUGGCUGAAGCAACGCAGCAACA
Molecule: long non-coding RNA, 1325 nt
Filed under: Strigops habroptila (Kakapo)
Lineage: Eukaryota; Metazoa; Chordata; Aves; Psittaciformes; Psittacidae
Description: lncRNA (ENSSHBG00005009857.1)
Source: RNAcentral